RNAcentral lists this ribosomal RNA (401 nucleotides) under uncultured bacterium. Its description in RNAcentral is "bacterial SSU rRNA". It matches the Rfam family "Bacterial small subunit ribosomal RNA", at positions 355 to 774 of the family's 1533-position model. The record is from RNAcentral.
UGGGGAAUAUUGCACAAUGGGCGAAAGCCUGAUGCAGCAACGCCGCGUGAGUGAUGAAGGCCUUCGGGUUGUAAAGCUCUGUCUUCUGGGACGAUAAUGACGGUACCAGAGGAGGAAGCCACGGCUAACUACGUGCCAGCAGCCGCGGUAAUACGUAGGUGGCAAGCGUUGUCCGGAUUUACUGGGCGUAAAGGAUGCGUAGGCGGAUACUUAAGUCAGAUGUGAAAAUCCCGGGCUUAACCAUAGUUAGCAUUUGAAACUGUAUUACUUGAGUGCAGGAGAGGUAAGUGGAAUUCCUAGUGUAGCGGUGAAAUGCGUAGAUAUUAGGAGGAACACCAGUGGCGAAGGCGACUUACUGGACUGUAACUGACGCUGAGUCACGAAAGCGUGGGUAGCAAACA